RNAcentral lists this microRNA precursor (96 nucleotides) under Paracoccus tibetensis. Its description in RNAcentral is "microRNA mir-598". The record is from RNAcentral. Lineage: Bacteria; Pseudomonadati; Pseudomonadota; Alphaproteobacteria; Rhodobacterales; Paracoccaceae.
UCAUGGUCAUGAUCAUGGUCGUGAUCAUGGUCGUGAUCAUGGUCGUGGGAAUGCGCGUGAUCGUGGUCGUGGUCAUGACCAUGACCGUGAUCGUCC